This 92-nucleotide transfer RNA is filed under the name Candidatus Omnitrophota bacterium. RNAcentral describes it as "Candidatus Omnitrophica bacterium tRNA-Ser". It matches the Rfam family "tRNA". From Rfam's summary of the family: Transfer RNA (tRNA) molecules are approximately 80 nucleotides in length. Lineage: Bacteria; Pseudomonadati; Candidatus Omnitrophota. The record is from RNAcentral.
GGAGAGGUCGCAUAGCCUGGUCUAGUGCGCACGCCUGGAAAGUGUGUGAACCUGAAAGGGUUCCGUGGGUUCGAAUCCCACCCUCUCCGCCA